This 254-nucleotide ribosomal RNA is filed under the name uncultured bacterium. RNAcentral's name for it is "partial 16S ribosomal RNA". It matches the Rfam family "Bacterial small subunit ribosomal RNA", at positions 524 to 776 of the family's 1533-position model. The record is from RNAcentral.
CACGUAGGCACCAAGCGUUGUCCGGAUUUAUUGGGCGUAAAGAGCUCGUAGGCGGUUCGGUAAGUCGGGUGUGAAAACUUUGGGCUCAACCCAAAGCCUGCACUCGAUACUGCUGUGACUUGAGUCCGGUAGGGGAGUGGGGAAUUCCUGGUGUAGCGGUGGAAUGCGCAGAUAUCAGGAGGAACACCGGUGGCGAAGGCGCCACUCUGGGCCGGUACUGACGCUCAUGGGCGAAAGCGUGGGGAGCGAACAGG